CAGUCGCCGCGGUAAUACGAAGGGUGCAAGCGUUAAUCGGAAUUACUGGGCGUAAAGCGUGCGUAGGCGGUGAGUUAAGUCUGCUGUGAAAUCCCCGGGCUCAACCUGGGAAUGGCAGUGGAUACUGGCUCGCUAGAGUGUGUCAGAGGAUGGUGGAAUUCCCGGUGUAGCGGUGAAAUGCGUAGAGAUCGGGAGGAAUAUCAGUGGCGAAGGCGGCCAUCUGGGACAACACUGACGCUGAGGCACGAAAGCGUGGGGAGCAAACAGGAUUAGAUACCCCUGUAGUCCCUGUCUCUUAUAC
Molecule: ribosomal RNA, 301 nt
Filed under: uncultured bacterium
Lineage: Bacteria
Description: partial 16S ribosomal RNA
Rfam family: Bacterial small subunit ribosomal RNA
Source: RNAcentral